CCUACGGGAGGCAGCAGUGGGGAAUAUUGCACAAUGGGCGCAAGCCUGAUGCAGCAACGCCGCGUGAGGGACGACGGCCUUCGGGUUGUAAACCUCUUUUAGUAGGGAAGAAGCGAAAGUGACGGUACCUGCAGAAAAAGCACCGGCUAACUACGUGCCAGCAGCCGCGGUAAUACGUAGGGUGCAAGCGUUGUCCGGAAUUAUUGGGCGUAAAGAGCUCGUAGGCGGUUUGUCGCGUCUGCUGUGAAAACCCCGAGGCUCAACCUCGGGCCUGCAGUGGGUACGGGCAGACUAGAGUGCGGUAGGGGGGAUUGGAAUUCCUGGUGUAGCGGUGGAAUGCGCAGAUAUCAGGAGGAACACCGAUGGCGAAGGCAGAUCUCUGGGCCGUAACUGACGCUGAGGAGCGAAAGCAUGGGGAGCGAACAGGAUUAGAUACCCUGGUAGUCCAUGCCGUAAACGUUGGGAACUAGAUGUAGGGACCAUUCCACGGUUUCUGUGUCGCNGCUACGACAUUAACGUUACCCGUCCGUCGGGUAGGUACGGCCGCGACGACGUAAACUACGAAAGGAAGUUAGACGGCGUGAGACGUCGCCGAACGACGACGACGAGGGAGGUAGG
This 618-nucleotide ribosomal RNA is filed under the name uncultured bacterium. Its description in RNAcentral is "bacterial SSU rRNA". The stretch from base 1 to 527 matches the Rfam family "Bacterial small subunit ribosomal RNA", at positions 338 to 873 of the family's 1533-position model. The record is from RNAcentral.